CUUUGUGUUUGUACAAGAGCCACACUGCCUGCAAGUCACCUCAGCAUGCUAUUCUACCACCUGCUCUCCGCAAAAUAAGAAGCACUUUAAUUCUGUAAUGGACUAAGUGAGGAGCUUUGGAUAAAAUGCUAUCCUCAGGUAACUCAUUGCCGCUGGAAACCAUGCCCUUAGCCCUCAGCGAGCUAAGCCAACAAGGAAAGAAGCAUUCCAGAAGUUCUACAGGUGGAUUCUUUACCACUGAACCACCAGGGAAGCUCACCUUUCAGCUUCUUAAAGCUACCAAAUACCAGUAUCAGCAGCUUCUCUGGAUUCUGGCUGAAGAAUUAUUCUUAAGACAGAAUGCUCAAAAAGGACUUGGACCUUCAAGUUCUGCAAAUGACCAACAGGGGAAAGCAUUCACCAGAGAUCCAAAACCUGUGUCAUUGAUUUGUCCUCAAUAUUUUUCCCCUGGAUGAUGCUUCUUCAUCUCAGAUAACAUGCUAGUAUUGUGGAUUAUCUUUUAUAUUCUUAUAUGUAUAUAUAGCUAUAACUAUGUACAAUAAAAAUAGAAAUGCCUUUCCCAUAUUUUCUGAAUAAGAUGGUAUAGUGAAAUAGAAAGAUGGCCAGCGCCCAGAAGGAUAUGUUCAAUUAGUAUCUCAGAAACCUAUGAAUGUGACCUUAUUUGGAGAAAGAAUCCUUGUAAUGAAAUUAGGGAUCUCAAGAUGAGGUAGAGAUCAUCCUGGAUUAUCCACGUGGGCCCUAAAUCCAAUGACAAGUGUCCUUAGAAAAGAUACACGGAAGAGAGACACACAGAAAGAGGAAGAGAAGCUAAUGUGGAGACAGAGGCAGAGGUUGGACUUAAGCAACCACAAGCAAAGGAGUUCCUGGAGCCUCUAAGAUGCUGGAAGAAGCAAGGAAAGAUGUUCCCAUAGAGCCUUCAAGGAAAGUGCAGCCCUGUGGGUCUUUGAUUUUAUUUAUCUUAUUUGUAUCUUGGGCCUUUGAUUUUAGACUUCUAACUCCAGACCUGUGUUAGAAUACGUUUUGUUACUUUAAGACACAAAGAUUGUGGUGAUUUGUUAUGUUACCGCCAAGAAAUAGGAUAUUAUUUUGGUACAUUAUUUGGUACAGGAGAAGACAGUCUGAAUUGUAGCAGAACCUCUGAGUCUAUAAUAUUAGAACCACCCAGAUCUGUGUGAACAUUUCCAAGUGCAAAUUGACUAUGUUCCACACCACUGCCUUCGCAGAUUACAGAAGAAAGUUAGGAACAUCUGAUGAAACUCCUUGUUUAUAAAUAGUAGACUUUGCAUGUCUCUGUAUUGUACCCCCACCCCAAAACACACGUAUACUACUUACCAGAGAAGU
This is a long non-coding RNA of Cervus elaphus (red deer), 1341 nucleotides long. RefSeq lists it as uncharacterized. The transcript is spliced from 3 exons. The record is from RefSeq and is a predicted model, not a curated record. NCBI's taxonomy places the organism in Eukaryota, Metazoa, Chordata, Mammalia, Artiodactyla, Cervidae.